RNAcentral lists this unclassified non-coding RNA (2552 nucleotides) under Leishmania donovani. RNAcentral's name for it is "gene:LdHU3.21.0230(CDS-product:hypothetical_prote in_conserved)". The record is from RNAcentral. Lineage: Eukaryota; Euglenozoa; Kinetoplastea; Trypanosomatida; Trypanosomatidae.
CAGAGGAAAGGAAUACCGCACAACAGGAGGUGCGGCAGACCCUCUCCCGCCGCAGUCAACCACACACGCGUCAAGCAGAGUGAUGCCGCCGAGUGCGCACUGGGGCAAGCGCCCACGCGAGGGCGACAGUGACGAAGCCUUCGUGCGUUUUAGUGAGCUCUCUCCGGCACAGAAGCUGGAGCGACGGCGCCAGGAGCGCGCGGAGAAGAAGGAGCGGGACCGCACGCUGGCGUACUUCAAGUCUGUUCAACGUGCGCUGGAGGAGCAGGGCAGCGGCGGCGGUGAUGCUGGUGCCCUCGCCUCCAUCGUGGACGGCUUCUUCUCGGAACUGCUGAAGCUGCUAAAGGCGGACUCGUCGUUCUACAUCCUCCGGAAUGGCACGGCGUGCCGCGUCGUGGAGCUGGCUCUGGCCAACGCGCUGCUGCUGCACGUCAAGUCCCUUCUUUACGUCUUCCUCGGCCACAUUUGUGAGCUGCUUAUCUCCCCUGUCGCGAGCUACACGCUGGAAACGCUACUGGCAAGCCUGUCGCAGGGUCUCAGCGCGCUCGCGGCCACGAACCCGGAAGGCCUGGAGGCUGAGCUCACCGAGGGCGGCGUCGGCAUGCACACCGGCAGUGGUGUCCCGAGCUCUGCCACGCUGCUGAGAUCCAUGGCAGAGGAAAUGUGCGAGAACGCCGAAGACCUCAUCGUUCACGACAUCGGCGGCCGUGCCCUGCGCUCGGUGGUUCUCAUGCUUGGUGGACACUCUAUCAGGCAGGCGCCGCUGCCUGUCCACCCGGUCGCUUUCCCAUGCAUUCUCGGUACACUGGCAGAGGCCGUCAUCAAGGCGCUGGAGGAGGGCUACGGCCGCGAGUACCGGACGGCGAGCCCGGCAGAGGCGUGGAUGGCGGCGGUACAGGCGCCGGCGACGAGCCUUGUCGUGCAGAGCCUCUUGCGCGUGAGUGACGAGGGCAGCGUUGUGGACCGUUGCGUACGUCAACGCAUUGAGCAGCUGUCCUACAAGGGAAGGCCGCUCUUGCACCACUUGCUCGUAGACACACUCGGCUGCCACGUCUUCCAGAGCUACCUGCAGGUGCCGCCGCCGACCGCGGUCGUGGUCGAGGGCGACGCCGCCGCCGUGCGUGCGAGUGCGUCGACAGAGGAAAGUGACGGCAGCUCCGAGGCGGCGUCGGUACCGGGCGGGGACACGUCCUGCUGCUGGUCACGUGCAGCCGGAGCGGUCACUGUCGAGGUGAGCAACCUCCUGAAACCCGGCAGCGACCUUGUCGCUCAGACGAGCUACGUUCUGCAAGACCUCGUCCUGUACGCGCCGACCGCCACCCACCUCCAGUGGCUUUGGAGGCGCGUGCUGGAGCCGCGGCUAGCGCUCUUGUUCGACGUGCCAGCGCUGGCGCCGGUGCUCGUGCAGUUGGUGAAGCGAUGCGCGUUUGAGAGUUUCACGCUGAAGCCUUUCGCGUCCCCAGGGCUGGCGGCUGCCGGCGAUGCAGCAGACCCCACGACUGGGGAGGUGAGUCACCACGGCACAGUGCUGCCCGCCGAUGUUCUCAAGACGCUGCGCAAGGAUGCCGUCCACCAUGUGCGCUACUCGCCCGUGCCCAUCACCUUCCAGAAGGCGGUGUGCACGUCGGUGUGCGGUUUGGCGAGGCAGCGGGUCGUGAAGGGGGCGGCACAGUAUCUUCUCGUGGACGGGGCGCUGGGUGACAGAGGAUACGAGCUGGCGCGCUUUCUCCUCCAUCUACACCCGACGGCAUCGACGAUGUUGCAGUACUCACUAGACAAGCUGCAGCGCGACGAUCUACUUGCCGUGAUGUGCCACCAGAAGGGCAGCCUCUUCAUGCAGCAGUACAUCAAGGUGGCCGCCCUCGCCGUGCCCAAGUCGACGGCGGCCUACGCAGAAGGUGAUAAAGCGGCUCACGUCAGCGAUGCAACGGCUGCUGCUGCUGCUGCGGAGUCGAAGAGGCCGCUGAUGCGUCUCUUCCGCCGCCUGCAGUCGUCCCUCGGCACGCUCAUCUACGACAGGUACGCCGCCUUCAUGCUGGAGGUCUUGUACGAGGCGGCUUCCAUGCCGGUAAAGGAGGCACUGGUGAAGUCGCUGGUGCCGCUUUAUCAGGAGAUGCGCACGCAGAGCAGUGGCUCAACUCCUACACCGUCUGCGAGCGCGGAGGCGGCGCCAUCAGUCGCUUCCGCAACAGCAGACAACGAAGGUGGCGAGAAUGGCACGCACGCAGACCUGACGCCAACGCAGAGGCGCUUCAUCGCAUACAAAGUCAUGUCGAGGUGCUGUGUGGAGCAGUACGUGCAUCGCAAGGACGACUGGGUCAAGCUGGCGGAGCGGCAAUGCCACGCGCAGCGUCUCCUGCGUCGUAUGCUGUUGAGCGAGUAGCGUGCUCUCCUACCUGUGGCUACGUAAUGUAAGCGUGUGUAGGCUGCAGCAGCCGCAGCAGCGAAGAAGAAUGCGAGAUGACCCUUCACCCUCCUGCCGUGUGUCGGCUCGAGCCCCUCCUCCCUUGGGUUUGCCUCUUUAACGCUCCCUCGAGUAAGGCGUAACGCGC